GACGAAGGAUCCAAGCGUUAUCCGGAUUCAUUGGGUUUAAAGGGUGCGUAGGCGGCCCGGUAAGUCAGUGGUGAAAUCUCCUUGCUUAACAAGGAAACUGCCAUUGAUACUGCUGGGCUUGAGUACAGAUGCUGUGGGCGGAAUAUGACAUGUAGUGGUGAAAUACAUAGAGAUGUCAUAGAACACCGAUUGCGAAGGCAGCUCACAAAACUGUAACUGACGCUGAGGCACGAAAGUGCGGGGAGCGAACAGG
RNAcentral lists this ribosomal RNA (253 nucleotides) under uncultured bacterium. Its description in RNAcentral is "partial 16S ribosomal RNA". It matches the Rfam family "Bacterial small subunit ribosomal RNA", at positions 524 to 776 of the family's 1533-position model. The record is from RNAcentral.